Molecule: long non-coding RNA, 2300 nt
Organism: Gallus gallus (chicken)
Lineage: Eukaryota; Metazoa; Chordata; Aves; Galliformes; Phasianidae
Exons: 3
Source: RefSeq, a predicted model, not a curated record
GAAAUUGGGCUUGCUGCAGCAAAGGCCAGCAGCAUCCUUUUUGUCGAGCUGCCUGCAUGCCAGUCACCUUGUAGGAUGAAACCUUCCCCAAGGAAAGCAUCCAUCGGAUUUUAUGUCUACCUCCUGAAGUCACGAGGAGGCAGAGCCCACUCCUGCCCCUCUGGAAGCCAACGAGAGAACUCCUUGACUUGACUGGGAACGCGUUCAAGUAAUGAUUCAGGUGACAACUGCUUUCUCACUUCCACCUGUGCCAAUGAAAUCAGGCGCUGACCUCACCUCUCCUCACCUGGAUGUCCACCUCCAGCCUUCGGCUCCAACCUCUGAGCCUUCUGCUUUGUAUCCUUCUGCCCCUCUUCACAUCACUCCUGCAAUGUGUGUGUGGCUCUGGGCUGGCAGUGCUACACGUCAGGGAAUCGGGAGGAAAACAGGAACCUAAGCAGACAUUGGAUGACUUAGUAACAGCCACAGCACAUUGCUGUUUCCAUGUGUUUUGGAUCCUCUCUGAACAAGAUGCUUCUGAAGCUUCCCAUUUCUGGGCAUGGUGGUUGGCAGUUGUCCUAAAUACACAGCCCUUUCAAAAUUUCAGCUUCAAAUCUCAUGCCUCUUCCUGAGCACAUGCAGGGCUCAAUUUUUCCUGUGUUUUCCAAAAGCUUUGUUAGUAAAUCACUCAGAGAGGACAAAAACUCCUGAAGACAAGGGAUGAAUAUCUAUGCUUCUUCCUACACCCCUUUGCAAGAGGAACAAAGUAGGCUAUCUAUAAUGAUAGUCACUAAGUUACCAGGUCAACCCCUCUCCCUGUCCUCAUUCACCAUGUUGUGUGUUUCUGCACCAUCCCUGGACUCAAAUGAUAAAAGACAUCCAUGCCAGGUCAUUCCCAGAGCUUUCACCCCAGGUCUGUCUGCUUUUCCUUUCAAAGCACACCAAAGGCUAAUCCCAGUGGAUCAAAUACCUCAAAGAACACAUGGAAGGAGAUGCUAAAGAAUGCGGGGAAAUGGAAGAGAGCUAUCAUGCUCAUGAGGAUCUGAUGGGGGUGGGUAGAGGUAUGACCGAAGCUUGCAAAUCAGAAAGGCAAUGCAUAGGGUGAGCGUACAACUGAUAGUUGAGAAAAAUUCCACAGCUCUAGGAGGAGGUGGAAUGCUUUGAAACCAUCAGAUCUGUUCAACAAGAACAGAAGAUAGCCUACAGUAAAUCUUCUGGUAUUCCUUACGAUAGGAAAUUUUGGACGAGAGCAUAAACAGGACCACAAUGGUCUCAGGCAAACUAAAUGCCAACAAAUUCAUAUGCAGAUGCAACGGAAAGAUGGCAGUGGUGUACCUUGCCACUAAUCCAUUGAUUACAAAAGCAGAAAAAAAAAAAAAAUAAGAGGUCACCGGACUGAAGGUGAACCGGAGAUAUUCAAAACUCACCUGGAAAUUUUCUUGUGCAACCUACCCCAGGGAAUCCGCUUUAGCAGCAGAUUGGACUAGAUGUGCUCCAGAGGCCCUUCCCAUCCUAUCUGAAUGAUUAUGUGACUGCAAAUACUGGCCCAGCCUCCAUACCCUACCCUGCUGAGCAUUUCUGGUUGCUGCUGCCUAAUUACAGGACAAGGCAGAUUGCUGGUCUGAUAUAGCAAGGAUUCUCUUGUGUUGUUAAAGAGCAAAAGUUGUUUCUAACACGUGCUGAACUCUGUAUUAAAAUUCUGUAAUCAGUUUUCUUCUGACCCACAUAUUCUAGUAGAUGAUUUUCCUGAUGAGGAAUAUUUUCAGUAAUGGCAACCUUUUGGAAGCAUUGAAGAGGCUGCUCAAGAAGGGGAAUGAUUAAUUCUUAAUAGCAAGUUUCUCAGCAUAUUGAAUGACACAUUCUUACAUUAUAUAUUGAUAUAUAACAUGCUGGCCCCAUGCCAUGCUGACUAGUAGGCCAUUUCCAACAAGGCAUCGUUUAUAGAUAAUGCAGUAGGUAAGGGACAGAGCCAUAAAUGCUGGCUCUUUCAUUUGUACCAAAAUCUUCUGGAACUUCAUUUUGGUUUGAAAGAUGACCGUCAUGGCUAUUGAUAUUAAGCAGAGACAGCAAUAAAUGCAUGUAAGACCAAUCCUGUCCCUGCAUCCCUGAGGCAAGAGGCAUAGCCCAUAGACUUCAAUUUAGAUGAACCACAGAAAGUUAGAUGCUUGUCUAAGGGUUAAUCAGACUUAUUUAAUCAAUACCUCCCAACAGGCUAGCAUGCCUUACUUCAGUUUAACUGUAUGUAACAUGUGCAUUAGUGCAUUUUGCACUUCCAGUACUUGUAAGACCUCAUAACUAAAAUAAAGUUUAAAAAAAAAAAA